UCCGGGGAUGAUGGGAUUCUUCUAUGUAGGGAUUAUGGUGGAUACCACACAAUUGUACACUUUCAUGAGAACUCUGCACAAAGAAUGGUGAGUUUUACUGUAUGUAAAAUUAUACCUUAAUUAACAAAUGAAACAAUAUACACAUACAUGAGAGAAUGAUGACUUUACUUUUUUUGAAACAGGAUCUAGCUCUGUCAACCAUGCUGGAGUGCAGUGGUGCGAUCGCAGCUCACUGCAGCCUUGACCUCCCAGGCUCCAGUGAUCCUCCUGCCUCAGCCUCCGAAGUAUCUGGGACUACAGGUGUGCACCACCAUGCCUGGCUAAUUUUUUUAAAUUUUUUUUUAGACAGAAUCUGGCUGUGUCACCCAUGCUGGAGUGCAGUGGUGUGAUUUCCGCUCACUGCAACCUCUGCCUCCCGGGUUCAAGUGAUUCUCCAGCCUCAGCCUCCCAAGUAGCUGGGAUUACAGGCACCCACCACCAUGACUGGCUGGCUAAUUUUUGUAUUUUUAGUAGAGACAGGGUUUCACCAUGUUGGCCAGGCUGCUGUCGAACUCCUGACCUCACGUGAUCUGCCCGCCUUGGACUCCCAGAGUGCUGGAAUUACAGGCAUGAGCCACUGCACUCGGCCUCUUUUUUUUUUUUUUUUCUGUUGACACAGGGUCUUGCUGUGUUCCCCAGGCUGGUCUUGAACUCCUAGGCUCAAGUGAGCCUCCCACCUUGGCCUCCCAAAGUGCUGGGGUUACAGGCAUGAACCACUGCACCCGGCCUGAAUGUUGUUUUUGGCAAUGAAAAUGAAACACAAAAUCCAGCAAGGUUUGACGGUGAAGGCGAGCUGGUGACCACAUAGUCACAUUCAGCCUUAGGUUCCGCUUUUUGCUGCAGUUUCUCACUGUCACUUCCUGCCACUGGGCUCCUCUUCCUGUGAAAACUCAGCCUCUCUUCCUCAUUUACCCCUUUGCAACAGAACGAGGCCGGCAUUUUCUAAAGCGUCCUUGAGGAGUCCAGUUCCUAAAAGAUUAUUUCAAAGUCCACUGUUGUGGGCUGACUUGAGUGCUCUCAAAAUUUGUAAGUUGAAGCCCUGACCCCGAGGACCUCGGAACGUGACUGUGGUUGGACACAGGGACUUUCCGGAGGUGAUUAAGGUUAAGUGGGGUCACUGGAUGGCUCUACUCCUAUCUGACUGGUGUCCUGAUGGGGACACGGACACCCGCACAGGAACGGACCCGGGGAGAACACCACAUUAUCUCCGCGCCAAGGAGAGAGGCGUCGGGGGAACCCAGCCCUGCCCAAGCAUUUAUCUCCACCUUCUGGCUCAGACUUGUGAGGAAACCCGCUUCUGUUGUGCAGUCCCUGGUCUGUGGAGCUUGGCCAUGGCGCCCCCAGAACUGCAUCCCCACCUUCUGCUCUGAGCCACCCGUCCCCUCCGGAAGGGCUGAGCUUCUCUCCCUUUCACUGCCUGUGCUCUGGGAAACUUUCAGAAUCCCCAGGCUGUUUCUGGAAUAGUCUGGGGUGGUCAUUCUUGGUCCUCACGGAACUGGGGGUUUGGAAAGUGAGUGAAGCCACAUGGGUUGCAAAGAAUCUGGCCCAGCCCCUCACUAGUCCCUGUGCUUGUUAUUUAUUCUUUAAUUCCUUGGAUAUCAACUCUGAUUUAAAACAUCAAUUUAACAUACAGAUAAUGCUGGGACUGCAGCUUUGCCAGGUGGCCUUCCCCUCCCGGUCUUGGGAGGCCUCACGCCCAUCUUGUCCCCCCAAGGUCAAGCGAAAAGGGCAAAGUUAUCCUUUUUUUUUUUUUUUCAAAAUUCAAACCUUUCCCUCCUUCCCAGGUCUGGGGUCACUUGCGACCCUCCUCUCAGGCUGCUUCUGACAGGCCCAAGUCACAGCCAACUUCAGGGGAGCCGUGUUGGAUCCCUCCAAACUCCUGGAAUGAUGUGACCUCUCCGCCGCUCGCCCUGGGCCUCCAGGUGAGACUCAGCCCAGACCCUGGCUCACAGGGAAGCAGAGCCCAGGGCUGGCCUCCACCCGCUCAGACGCCCGCACACAGGCCAGGGGAGGGCUUGGGGGCAGCUCUGGGAGGGUCCCUGUUUGCGCUGUGGGUGUCCAAGGCUGGGUGUGCAGAGCUGAGGUUUCCGCACACCUGAGGGACUCUCGCGUGAGGACAGCGCAGGGCUGGAAGCUGGUCUGCGAAGGUGAACGAGACAGCGCUGCUGGCUCCCUCCGUGCCGCGGACUGGCUCCUAUGCAGUCUCAUGAGCAAGUGUGCUGUCGCUCGUGCACGUGUGUUUUAACUGAGAUGUGAGCUGGCAUGUUUUCUCCACCCAGCUCCAUCUGCUGGGUCCCUCCACAUUGCUGCAGGUGUGGCUCCAGUGCCAUGGGGUCCCCCACUGUGGGCAGCCCCUGCAUUUUGUCCGUCUGCUUCCCCAAACAUGGAACCCCAGUGACCUCCAACUUGCCGCCAUGACGAGCCACUCUCAUUCAUAUCCUCAGACAUGGCGCUCUGAGCCCAAAUGAGGGUUUCUUUAGAGAGAUAUCUGGGGAGCGAACUGUAGGGACAGAGCUCCUGUCUAAGGUGGGCCUGUGGUGAGGUCUGCCCGGUGCUACACUUCCAUCCCACAGCAGGGCUUGCAGGCCGCCCUUCUCCAUCUCCACCAACACUGGGCAGGAUCUAGACUCCAAACCUUUGCCAGUCUAAUAGUACAAAAUGAUAGCUUGGUGCUAUUUUGGUUUUGCAUUUCCAUGGUGAACAAUGAGUUUGAGAGUUUUUGUUCAAAAGUCCUUUGGGAGUUCGAGACCAGACCGGGCCACCAGGAGUUCAAGACCAGCCUGGGCAACUCAGUGAGAUGUUCAUCUCUACAAAAAAUAAGAAAGAUAAAAAAUUAGCCAGGCAUGGUGGUGUGUGCCUGUGGUCCCAGCUCCUCAGGAGGCUGAGGUGGGAGGAUGGCUUGCCCCCAGGAGGUGGAGGCUGCAGUGAGUUGUGAUCGUGUCAGUGUACGCCAGCCUGGGCAACAGAGUGAGACCCUGUUUCUAAAAUAAAAAUAAAAAACAAAAAAGUCCUUUGGGUUUCCUCUCGGUAUUACUCAGCACAGGACAAGGUGUCAGUUUCCAUCCUCCAGCAAGCAGAUGCUGAGAUGAAGCUCGGUGGGAGGUGACACCCAAGAGGAACGGGCGGGGUUGGACAGGGACAGCCUUCAGAUCACAGUGUGGAUCGGACCCCUGGGAGGGGAGAGAGGGAGGAAGAGAACUGGUUGGCUGUGAAGCGGAUCUGAUAGGGCCCUGCUGCCACACCAACAGCAGCUUGGGGCCAAGGACGCUGUUGCAGGAGCAAGGGACAGACCCCCAUACCACUGGCUCAGUGCCUGCAGCACGUGGCCUCUGUGGCUGCAGCCCGAGGCUGUCAGCUGAGGCACUCCACGCACCUGGAGAGCACGUUCUCUGUGGAAGGAGACUGCAGCAUUCCCACCACUCCAAAGCAGUAGUAGCGGCACCUGGAGAAAGAAGAAGUCCACCACCUUCUUGAUGGCGGACUCUUUCUGCAGGCUCGCUGCAGUAACAGACUGGGAGCUCUGGACCUGGUGUAUUGCUAGCUCAGUCUGACGGGGUCCCAGCUUUCCCCUGAGGUUCUCCUCCCAAGAGUGCCGAGAUUGAUGCUGUCCCAUCCAGCGUCUCCGCAGUCAUCAGCUCUUCACAUCCCUGGGUGAAGAUGGGGAGGCAGUGUGCGGAGCUUACUCCCAAUUGACUUGGAACGGAAGCCAGGACAGAGAACUCUACAAGGGACAUUGGUGCACUGAAGAGCAGGGUGUGGUUCUGACCAGAAGCAUCUGUGCUUCUGGAGGGCAGAGGGCUGAGCAUGGGCAUGGGGGUCUGGGCAGGCCUCCCAGGGCGGAGGUCAAGAGGAGGGCGGGAGGCCUCUAGCUUGGUGGUUAAGAGCUCAGCCUUCAGAGUUUGUUUUCUCAGCUCUAUCUUUGACGAGCUUCGUGAGCCAUAACUGGCCAGGGGCUGCCCCCAGAAAAGCUGGCCUCCAGCUCCCUGCAUCCUGAGGCCCCAGAUCAAGUUUCUUGGGCCCCGAUUUCCUGUCAUUAAAGAGAUGAGAGUACAUUCCUCAGAAGUGGGCUGUGAAUACAUGAAACUCAAAGUUUUGGGCACCCAGCACGCGCUCAGGAAGCGUGGCUUGUGAUUACCCGGCAGUGUGGUGCGAGGCCCCUAGCAGCCCCGUGUGCUAGUCUCACUGUCGCCCAGGAUGCAGUGGCACGAUCUUGGCUCACUGCAACCUCCACCUCCCGGGUUCAAGCAAUUCUCUUGCCUCAGGCUCCCCAGUAGCUGGGAUUACAGGUGUGUGCCACCAUACCCAGCUAAUUUUUGUAUUUUUAGUAGAGACCCAGUUUCGCCAUAUUGGUCAGGCUGGUCUUGAACUCCUGACCUCAGGUGACCCUCCUGCCUCGGUCUCCUGAAGUGCUGGGAUUACAGGCGUGCGCCACGGCAUGUGGCCUUUUUGUGUGCUUCUGACAGUGGCACUGGCCUGGCCCAGCAGCCUUCCUUUCUGGUGUCCUCCCUAAAGCAAUACUCAUCAUUUCCGGCCACCUGAGGUGGCCGUGAACUGCAGCCCAAGCCUGCCUGGUGCAGCUCUGACAAGCAAGCCCUUCUGAGGAACAAGAGCCUGGGGGUCAGGUGACUACCAAGCCCCAUUUCCUUUCCCAACAGGCAAGUGACCAGCUCUCCUUGUACGGGAUGUCCUCUAGGGCCACAGGAUAUGCCCUUUGAGCUGCUCAUCCAUUUUUGUCCUCUGUUCUACCUGACACGCCCACAUUUGUCCCAGCCAGGCCUUUCUUUGUUCUGGAAUAGCUGGGAACGCAGCUGGAAGGACUGGGAGCCAGCUUCCACUGAGUGGCUUCUAGCUGCCUGUAGGCGGUGUGGCUCAUGUGCACACAGCUGCUGCGGUCUUUCCCUCCCCGCAUGGCGCCCCUGGAUGGUCACGAGGUCAGCCAUGCUCCCAACAAUGCAACACACCAAGGGAGGGGUUAGAGAGAGAGCUGGAGUGUGCCUCGGAGGCUUCUUAGAACAAAGAAAGAGGAGCUGGCCAGGACUGUUCCCUGUAAUCUCCUGGGGACAAUUUUCAGGCUAACGAGGAGUGACCGUACGCACUGAAUGACCUCGAGAUCGUUGAAACAUCUGAAGGGUUUAGGUGUGGGUGCUGCAGACCCCAUGCCAUGGGCUCCCGGGUCAGCCGUGCUGCAGGACAGAGCCAGGCAGGGCUGGAAGGAGGGCUGCCAGGACCACAGCAUCGCCCUGGCUCGGAGUAUCUCCAAUUCAAAGAGCACGCUUCCCCUUCCAGAGGCUACUGGGGCUUCGUCUGAAGAGUGGCUGCUUCUCCAACUUGGCUGCCUAAGACAUUUACUCAAGUGACAGCAGUUGGUGGCUGAGCCAAGAUAUCAUGGAGGACUAAAAAAAAGCACAAACUUAAAAAAAACCAUGUAUUCUUAAACCAUCUUGCACACACCCAGGCACAAGCUAGAUGCAUAAUACCGUGCACCUACACUAUCCACCUGAAAAAUACAGUAAAAUGACUUAAGAAACACA
This is a long non-coding RNA of Symphalangus syndactylus (siamang), 5570 nucleotides long. RefSeq lists it as uncharacterized. The record is from RefSeq and is a predicted model, not a curated record. Lineage: Eukaryota; Metazoa; Chordata; Mammalia; Primates; Hylobatidae.